GACGAACGCUGGCGGCGUGCUUAACACAUGCAAGUGGAGCGACGAACCAGGGCUUGCCCUGGUCCAGAGUCGCGAACGGGUGAGUAACACGUGGGUAACGUGCCCCGAUGACUGGGUCAACUCGGUUCAACCCGCGCUAAUUCCUGCUGUGCCCUCUCUCAUCAGUGAGGUGUCUAAAGUAAGCUUCGGCCUCCGCAUCGGUAUCCGCCCGCUGCGCAUUAGCUUGUUGGUUAGGUAACGGCUCACCAAGGCUGCGAUGGGUAGCUGGUCUGAGAGGACGAUCAGCCACACUGGAACUGAGACACGGCCCAGACUCCUACGGGAGGCAGCAGUGGGGAAUCUUGCGCAAUGGGCGAAAGCGUGACGCAGCAACGCCGCGUGGGGGAAGACGGCCUUCGGAUUGUAAACCCCUUUCAGUUGGGAAGAAGGUAGGGCGGUUAAAAGCCGUUCAGGCUGACGGUACCUAAACAAGAAGCCCCGGCUAACUACGUG
This 492-nucleotide ribosomal RNA is filed under the name uncultured bacterium. Its description in RNAcentral is "partial 16S ribosomal RNA". It matches the Rfam family "Bacterial small subunit ribosomal RNA", at positions 28 to 507 of the family's 1533-position model. The record is from RNAcentral.